CGUAACAAGGUCUCCGUAGGUGAACCUGCGNNNNNAUCAUUACACAAAUAUGAAGGCGGGCUGGAACCUCUCGGGGUUACAGCCUUGCUGAAUUAUUCACCCUUGUCUUUUGCGUACUUCUUGUUUCCUUGGUGGGUUCGCCCACCACUAGGACAAACAUAAACCUUUUGUAAUUGCAAUCAGCGUCAGUAACAAAUUAAUAAUUACAACUUUCAACAACGGAUCUCUUGGUUCUGGCAUCGAUGAAGAACGCAGCGAAAUGCGAUAAGUAGUGUGAAUUGCAGAAUUCAGUGAAUCAUCGAAUCUUUGAACGCACAUUGCGCCCUUUGGUAUUCCAAAGGGCAUGCCUGUUCGAGCGUCAUUUGUACCCUCAAGCUUUGCUUGGUGUUGGGCGUCUUGUCUCUAGCUUUGCUGGAGACUCGCCUUAAAGUAAUUGGCAGCCGGCCUACUGGUUUCGGAGCGCAGCACAAGUCGCACUCUCUAUCAGCAAAGGUCUAGCAUCCAUUAAGCCUUUUUUUCAACUUUUGACCUCGGAUCAAGUAGGGAUACCCGCUGAACUUAAGCAUAUCA
RNAcentral lists this ribosomal RNA (570 nucleotides) under uncultured fungus. RNAcentral describes it as "eukaryotic LSU rRNA". The stretch from base 208 to 361 matches the Rfam family "5.8S ribosomal RNA". Lineage: Eukaryota; Fungi. The record is from RNAcentral.